UGGGGAAUAUUGCACAAUGGGCGCAAGCCUGAUGCAGCGACGCCGCGUGGGGGAUGACGGCCUUCGGGUUGUAAACUCCUUUCGCCAGGGACGAAGCGUUUUGUGACGGUACCUGGAGAAGAAGCACCGGCUAACUACGUGCCAGCAGCCGCGGUAAUACGUAGGGUGCAAGCGUUGUCCGGAAUUACUGGGCGUAAAGAGCUCGUAGGUGGUUUGUCACGUCGUCUGUGAAAUUCCACAGCUUAACUGCGGGCGUGCAGGCGAUACGGGCUGACUUGAGUACUGUAGGGGUAACUGGAAUUCCUGGUGUAGCGGUGAAAUGCGCAGAUAUCAGGAGGAACACCGAUGGCGAAGGCAGGUUACUGGGCAGUUACUGACGCUGAGGAGCGAAAGCAUGGGUAGCAAACAGGAUUAGAUACCCUGGUAGUCCAUGCCGUAAACGGUGGGCGCUAGGUGUAGGGACCUUUUGGGGUUUCUGUGCCGUAGCUAACGCAUUAAGCGCCCCGCCUGGGGAGUACGGCCGCAAGGCUA
Molecule: ribosomal RNA, 531 nt
Filed under: uncultured bacterium
Lineage: Bacteria
Description: bacterial SSU rRNA
Rfam family: Bacterial small subunit ribosomal RNA
Source: RNAcentral